AAGUCGUAACAAGGUUUCCGUAGGUCAGUAAAUAAUUCUCUUCUAUUUUUCGUUGCUAACUGUCGUAGGUGAACCUGCGGAAGGAUCAUUACCGAGUAAUCCUGCUCGCAGGAACUCCCACCCUUGUGUAUUGACUGUUGCUUCGGCGAGACGCUGGAGACGGCCGCUGGAUAUCUGACUCCGAUAUCCCAGCGUGGGCUCGUCGGAGAAUACAUACUCUGAGAUUAUGUACAGUCAGAGAAUCAAGCAAUAUAUCAAAACUUUCAACAACGGAUCUCUUGGUUUUG
This 287-nucleotide unclassified non-coding RNA is filed under the name fungal sp. RNAcentral describes it as "partial internal transcribed spacer region". Lineage: Eukaryota; Fungi. The record is from RNAcentral.